This is a long non-coding RNA of Pan troglodytes (chimpanzee), 589 nucleotides long. RefSeq lists it as uncharacterized. The record is from RefSeq and is a predicted model, not a curated record. The transcript has 5 exons. NCBI's taxonomy places the organism in Eukaryota, Metazoa, Chordata, Mammalia, Primates, Hominidae.
GAGGCAACACUUCAGCUGCUGGGAAUGAUCUUCUGCAAGGACCUUCUGCUCCUUUGUAAUCUUCCUAAGCUGAAUACAGUCUCUUCACCCAAGAGUAAGUCCCCUCCCUGGGGAUAGCUUAAGUCUAAUGGUCAGUUGGUAAGUAUUGCCUUUGAAGAUAUGUAGAGUUGCUAACAAAUGACUGACUCUGGACCUGAACAAUGAAAGCCAGAGAAUGAAUGACAUAUCCGAGCAAGUCAUGCUGAUCAGAAAACUGAAGUUGCAGAGCAAAUUCCCACUCUGAAAUCUGGAAGAGAAGCCACUGGGGCCAUCAGCUGUUGGAGCACUUACAUGAUCACUUUGACCAGUUUUUAGAGUGUCUAAUUUCUUGGUGUUUGGAGGUAUCUCACAGCCUACAUGAAAGGUUUUAGGCUCAUCUUGUUCAUAUCCUGCCUCAGAUGCGGAAUCAGCCAACUCCCUGAGCACCCCUACUUCAUUUUAGUGAGCAACACAGAUUUUGAUAUGAGGUAUUUUUUUCAUGUAUUAUAGCCAUUUUUUAUCCUAGCAAUGUUUUCUUUGAAUUAUGGCAUCUUUAAAAGUGAAAUUUUAA